This 1178-nucleotide long non-coding RNA is filed under the name Malus domestica (apple). Its description in RNAcentral is "long non-coding RNA (MDOM_LNC011497)". The record is from RNAcentral. Lineage: Eukaryota; Viridiplantae; Streptophyta; Magnoliopsida; Rosales; Rosaceae.
AAAACACUCAAAUCUGCCUAAAAACACUAACUGGGCAGAUUUGGACUCUAAACACACUUUUGGACGAAUUUUGGUUUCAACUUGGUUCGAAAUACUUAAAAACACAAACUAAAUCAGUUUCUAACUAAUAUGACUCAACAAGGUAAAGGGGGUUUUGGUUUUGAUGAAUUUGAAAACAAAACAAGUAAAUUAAAAGAACUAAUGAAAUCUGCACGAAUUUGAGUAAAUUGAAUGGAUGGAAGGCUAGCUAGGAGGGUUAUUCUCCACACAUGACACACUUGCACAUAAACCAAUUUUUAGUUGUUCUUUCGAUAAAUCAUGAAACUCAACACCCCAGGUUAAUUAAGUCCGCUUAAAUUAACCUUCAAAUUCUCCUUAAGUUAUUGAAUUGGAUGGGAAAACGCAUACAACAAUUUAAGCAUUCUUCAAAAGUCCUUUUCGUGAACAGCACAAUAAAAAUACAAUAAAAAAUCAUUAAGCAUUAUGAAAACUAUAAGUAUUGACGAGACAUUCGUUACUAUGAUGAGCAUGAAACUCCUGCCAAGAAUUCAUUUAACGCAAUCAUUUAUAAGCGACCUCCACUACUUGUGAAUAUAAGUUUGUAACUAUUAGAUGAAACUCCCUUAUACUCUAGCAUCAUAUUCAUGUAUGCAAACUAAGUAUGCACUCUUAAUAAACAUACACGAAUAAGUUAUCAAUCAAGCAGUUAAACAAAUUGAAUUCACAACUUAUGAAAUCACAAUUUAAGGUAAUCAAUUCAUAUUGCAAGUAUGUUCAUGGCUUUGAAUUCCCCCUAGUUAAGGGGUUUAGUUCUUCAUACUCACAAAGCAAAGAUAAACAAAUUUAGACAUUGAAAACAAAAAAAUGAAUACACCUAAAAACGCUCCAAUAAUCCAACUUGAAUGGUAAACACGUCCAAGGGUCAUCCUCAUUCUCUUUGUUGCGGCACAAGGUGUGGUUUGAUGGAUGCAUAUGGAUAUAUAGAAGGGAAUGGCUGAAUGUGUUUAGGUUGGAUGGAGGUCACGACAAGGAAAGGGAAAUGAAGGUGCAUGAAAUUGUGUUUUUGUUGUGGGAAUGUGUAGAAUGGUUAAGAAGAAAAGACUCUACCUUGCGGCAGAAUGUGUCUUCCUCCCUUCUCCCUAAACUGUCCCCCCUGGAUGUGUCUUUGGAUGGAUAUA